This 353-nucleotide unclassified non-coding RNA is filed under the name soil metagenome. Its description in RNAcentral is "partial contains 5.8S ribosomal RNA, internal transcribed spacer 2, and large subunit ribosomal RNA". The stretch from base 1 to 120 matches the Rfam family "5.8S ribosomal RNA", at positions 35 to 154 of the family's 154-position model. The record is from RNAcentral.
GAUGAAGAACGCAGCGAAAUGCGAUAAGUAAUGUGAAUUGCAGAAUUCAGUGAAUCAUCGAAUCUUUGAACGCACAUUGCGCCCGCCAGUAUUCUGGCGGGCAUGCCUGUUCGAGCGUCAUUACAACCCUCAGGCCCCCGGGCCUGGCGUUGGGGAUCGGCGGAGCCCCCCGUGGGCACACGCCGUCCCCCAAAUACAGUGGCGGUCCCGCCGCAGCUUCCAUCGCGUAGUAGCUAACACCUCGCGACUGGAGAGCGGCGCGGCCACGCCGUAAAACACCCAACUCUUCUGAAGUUGACCUCGAAUCAGGUAGGAAUACCCGCUGAACUUAAGCAUAUCAAUAAGCCGGAGGA